ACAUGCAAGUCGAGGGGCAGCAUGAAGGUUAGCAAUAACCUUUGAUGGCGACCGGCGCAAGGGUGCGUAACGCGUGAGCAACAUGCCCGUCACAGGAGGAUAAUCCAUGGAAACGUGGUCUAAUACUCCAUAGUAUCGGAGUGAGGCAUCUCAUUCUGAUUAAAGCUUCGGUGGUGACGGAUUGGCUCGCGUGACAUUAGUUAGAUGGAGAGGUAACGGCUCACCAUGGCUACGAUGUCUAGGGGAACUGAGAGGUUUAUCCCCCACACUGGUACUGAGACACGGACCAGACUCCUACGGGAGGCAGCAGUGAGGAAUAUUGGACAAUGGAUGGAAAUCUGAUCCAGCCAUGCCGCGUGCAGGACGACGGCCCUAUGGGUCUUAAACUGCUUUUGUAUGGGAGCAAUAAGUUCUACGAGUAGGAUGAUGAGAGUACCAUACGAAUAAGCAUCGGCUAACUCCGUG
This 465-nucleotide ribosomal RNA is filed under the name uncultured bacterium. RNAcentral describes it as "bacterial SSU rRNA". It matches the Rfam family "Bacterial small subunit ribosomal RNA", at positions 53 to 507 of the family's 1533-position model. The record is from RNAcentral.